GGCAGAUAUAUCAGUCAACAAGAGGAGAAGACCUCUGUGCUGUGGAAUACCCUGCUUCCUGUGUCUUCACUGAACUCAGCCCAGAGGAAAAAACAAGCACAGAACUGGUCCCUGCAGCUGCUCAGUGGAAUGGAGUAAAACAGACAUAAAACCUUCUGUGAAGACAUCCACACCUUCACAUUCAAAAGUUAAUGCAAAUCGAGGAGCACACCACAGCUGCCCACCUGAAGGAGAGGGCACACCUGAGUGGAGGGACUCUGUUCCAGCCCCACCUGCCACUUCUCCCACCUGAGAAGCUCACCACAGCUGCCGGCCAGAAGGAGGGAGCUGGGCCGAGCUGCUGGAACCUCCUCCGACCUCGUCUGUGACCUUCUUUUGACCUGGAGAGCACCAGCACUACUGCCACUGCCUAGAGGAGGGAGCACCCUGCUGAGGAGGUUUGAGGCCUAGCUAGGCCAUACGGGGACCCUCUAUCAGCCUGGGGAGCUUUGCCAUCCAAGGAGCUGGAUGACUACACAACAUCCAAUCCCUGGGAGAGUAGGAGAUCCUGGCUUUGGUGGGUUGGGAGUCCACUGGGCUUGCAGCCACACUAGACUGGGCUUAGCAGGAUUUGGGAUUGCCUGGAUGACACCAGGUGGCCUUUUUUCCCUCAGGGGAGCUUUGCUACCAGCGGGGGAAACUGUGUAGAUUGAGGAGGCUUUAGGUCUACCUGAGAAGAGCCUGGCAACCCUCUUUUAAUCCAGGGGCUCUGCUCCCCAAGGAGGGAGCUACACUACCAGAGGAGUCCCAAGAGCCCAGGACAUAAGAGACAAUUUCCAACAUGCCCAGGGGAAACUCUGGAACAACAUUUGAAACACGGAAAUACAGGAAAAAGACAAAACGCAAUCUCAAACAUCCAGCCCAUCCCAAGAAAGCCUAGGAGCCAUGUACAUAGAAGAAAAGAUAUGCCAUAUACCUGAAAUACCUGAAACAAUAGUAACCAAAAUAAAGAAGCAACUCCAGGAAGCUUUAAAGGAAUUCAAACUAGAAAUAAUCUCUCAGGUAAAAGAAGAAAUGAUAAAAGAAAUGGAGAUGCUGAACAUAUCUAAAGAAGACACAUAUCUAAAGAAAAAUUGGAGGAACUAAACAAAUAGAUAGGCUCCCUGUGUGAACAAUAUAAGAAACAAACAGAAUAUAUAAAACAGAUGCAAAGAGAUAUACAGGAAAUUAAAAAUUCCAUUGACAGUUGUAAAAACUGCCUCAAUGAAUGUGAAGAUAGAAUUUCGGACCUCGAAGACAAAAUUGUAGCUAGUGAACAGGAAAGGAAAGAUUUUUUAAAAAUAAUAAGAAAUCAAGAAAUAACAGUUCAACACCUGCAAGAUGAUGCAAAGAAAAACAACAUAAGGUUGAUAGGGAUAAAUGAAAAAGAAGGAGACAACAUAAAGGAUGUCAAGAAGAUAUUUAGAGAAGUAAUAGCUGAAAACUUUCCCAAACAUGAAAUUGGAAACUGAUCAAUGAAGGAUCAAUGAAGCAUAUAGAACUCCAAAUAGCCAUAGCCAAAAUAAAACUACACCCAGACAUAUAAUAAUCACUAUCCCAGAAAUCGAACAAAAGAAUGGAAUAUUAUAAGCUGUCAGAGAGAAAAGAUAGAUCACCUAUAAAGGAAAACCUAUCAGAACCACAGCAGACUUCUCAACACAAGCAAUAAGGCAAGAAGAGCAUUGUUUCAGAUACUAAAGGAAAAUGAUUUCCAACCUAGACUGAUGUACUCUACAAAACUGUACUUCAAAAUCAAUGGAGAAAUAAGAUAUUUCCAUGACAAAGAAGAGCUGAAGAACUUCAUAAUCACCAAGCCAAUCCUGCAAAGAAUAUUGAAAGACAGUUUAGAUACACUUAGGAAAAAAACCAAUAAACAAAGCAGACAAUUAAACAGAACAAAAAGAUAAAGAUGCAACAGCAGAAAUAUAACAUGUCAGCAAUAAACCAAUAUAUAAUAGUAAUGACCAUUAACGUAAAAGGUCUCAAUGCACCAAUUAAAAUAAAUAGACUGGCAGAAUGGAUUAAGAAACAAAAUCCAAAUAUACGCUGUCUACAAGAAACACAUCUAACCCAAAAGGAUACUCACAGACUCAAAGUCAAAGGAUGGAAAACAAUACUUCAUGCAACAGGAAACCAAAAAAAAAGUGGGGGUAGCUAUUCUGUUUUCAGACAAUAUGAACUUCAUACCAAUAAUGAUCAGAAGAGAUAAAGAAGGUCACUCCAUACCGGUUACGGGAAAACUUCAAGAGGAAGAGAUAACUAUCUUAAAUAUAUAUGCACCAAAUUCCAGAGCAUCCAGUUAUAUAAAACAAGUAAUAUCAGAAAUGAAAAACCAAAUUAACAGUAAUACAAUUAUAACAGGAGAUUUUAACACAACAUUGACACCAAUGGACAGAUCAACCAAACAGAAAGUCAGCUAAGAAAUAAAAGAACUGAAUCACACCUGUGAACAAAUGGAAUUGAUAGACAUAUACAGAGUAUUCCGCCCAACAACAACAGAAUACACAUUCUUCUCAGCAGUACAUGGGUCAUUCUCUAAAAUAGACCAUAUAUUAACUCACAGAACAUAUUUAAAUAAAUGCAAAAGAGUUGAAAUUAUCCCUUGCAUGUUAUCAGAUCAUAGCGCUAUGAAAUUAGAAAUUAAUGAUAAAAAAUACUGCAAAACUCCCACAAACACAUGGAAACUGAAUAACACACUCUUGAGUAAUCAGUGGGUCACAGAGGAAAUUAAAGAAGAAGUUAAACAAUACCUACAAACAAAUGAAAACACAAAUACAAUUUACUGGAAUCUGUGGGAUGCAAUGAAAGCUGUCCUGAGAGGAAAAUUUAUUGUACUGAGUUCCCACAUCAGGAAAACAGAACAAAUACAAAUAAAUAACCUGAUGCUACCCCACAAACAUCUAGAAAAAGAGGAGCAAGUAAGCCCAAAGCCAAAAGAAGAAAGGAAAUAAUAAAAAUCAGAGCAGAAAUCAAUGCAAUAGAGACUAAGAAAACAAUCCAAAAAAAUCAAUGAAUCAAAGAGUUGGUUCUUUGAAAGAAUAAAUAAAAUCGAUAAGCCCUAGCCAACCCUAUUUUAAAAAGGGAGGAAAAAGCUCAAAUUCAUGCAAUAAGGAAUGCAAAUGGUGAAAUCACUACAGACCCAAUAGAAAUACAGAAGAUCAUCAACACCUAUUUCAAAAACCUCUACUCUCAAAGGUUUGAUAACACAGAAGAAAUAGAUUCCUAGAAGCAUAUGAAGUACCAAAGCUAGGUCAAGAAGAUGUAAAACUGCUCAAUAACCCAAUUUCUAUUAAUGAAGUUGAAAAUGUAAUUAAGUCCUAACCUACAAUGAAAAGCCCAGGCCCAGACGGAUUCACUGCAGAAUUCUACAAGAAAUACAAAGAAGACCUAAUGCUGACACUCCUCAAACUCUUCAAUGAAACUGAAAGGGAAGCAAUCCUUCCUAAGUCAUUCCUGGAAGCAAAUAUUACUCUAAUACCAAAACCUGAGAAAGACCCAACUGAAAAAGGGAACUACAGAUCAGUUUCCCUAAUGAACACAGGUGUAAAAAUCCUCAAUAAAAUACUGGCAAAUAGGAUGCAGCAAAUCAUCAAGAAGAUUAUACACCAUGACCAAGUGGGAUUCAUCCGAGGUAUGCAGGGAUGGUUUAACAUACGGAAAUCAAUAAAUGUAAUCCACCAUAUCAAUAGAGUCAAAAGUAAGAAUCACAUGAUCAUUUCUGUAGAUGCAGAAAAAGCUUUUGAUACGAUACAACAUUCAUUUAUGAUAAGAACCUUGCAGAAAAUCAGAAUAGAUGGCUUUUACCUCAACAUAAUGAAGGCCAUCUAUGACAAACCAACAGCCAGUAUCAUACUAAAUGGCCAAAAAUUGAAGGCCUUUACUUUAAAAUUAGGCACAAGACAAGGAUGUCCUUUAUCACUACUCCUAUUUAAUAUAGUAUUGGAAAUACUAGCCAGAGCAAGUAGACAAUAAAGAGAAAUAAAAGGCAUAAAGAUAGGAAAAGAAGAAGUUAAAUUAUCAUUAUUUGCAGAUGAUAUGGUACUCUACAUAGAAGACCCCCAAAACUCCAUUGAAAGACUCCUAAACAUAAUAAAUAAAUUCAGCAAUGUGGCUGGAUACAAAAUCAAUACUCAAAAAUCAAUAGCAUUCCUAUACACUAACAACCAAAUCACAGAGAGAGAAAUAAGAGAGGCAACAUGCUUCACACUAGCAACCAAAAAAAUGAAAUAUUUAGGAAUUACUCUCACGAAAGAAGUGAAAGACCUACACAGGGAAAAUUAUAAUACACUGAAAAAUGAAAUUGAAGAUGAUAUCAAAAAAAUGGAAAGACAUCCCUUGCUCAUGGAUAGGAAGAAUAAAUAUUGUGAAAAUGGCCAUUCUCCCAAAACUGUUAUACAGAUUCAAUGCAAUCCCGAUAAAAAUACCAUCAACAUACCUCAUAGAUCUUGAGAAAUCACUCCUAAAAUUCAUCUGGAGUGAGAAGAGACCUAGAAUAGCAAAGACAGUUCUAAGCAGCAAAGGCAAGGCAGGAGGUAUCAUAAUCCCUGACUUGAAGAUAUACUACAAAGCAACUGUAGUAAAAUCAACAUGACACUGGAAUCAAAACAGAGCCAAAGAUCAAUGGAAUAGAUUAGAAGAUACAACCACAACUACAAACACACUAAACCACCUUAUAUUUGAUAAAGGGGCCAAACAUGUUCACUGGAAGAAUGAUAGUCUCUUUAAUAAAUGGUGUUGGAAAAACUGGCCCUGCAUAUGCUGAAAACUAAAACUAGACCCAUGCCUAUCACCAUAUAAUACUAAAAUAAAAUCUAAGUGGAUCAAAGAUCUAAAUAUUAAAACAGAAACACUAAAUCUAUUGGAAGACAAAUUGGGUAAAAACCUUGAAGACAGGGGUAGGUAGAGAAUUCAUGAACAAGACUCAAAUCGCACAGGAAAUACUUCCCAGAGUCAAUAAUAGGAUCACAUCUUAUUAAAAAUUUUCUGCACAUCAAAAGAAAUCUCUAACAGUGAAAAGAAAACCCACAAACUGGAAAAAAUCUUAGUGAACUGCCCCUCAGACAAAGGACUUCUGUCUAAAACAUAUAAAGAAUUAAAAAAAAAUCAGACCCCCAAAAUUCAAAGACCCAAUCCAAAAAUGGGCAUCUGAGAUGAAUAAACAAUUUUCAGAUGAAGAAAUACAAACGGCAAAUAAAUAUAUGAAAAAAUUUUCAUCAUCAUUAGUCAUUAGAUAAAUGCAAAUUAAAACCGCACUGAGAUUUCAUCUCACUCCUGAAAGAAUGGCCAGGAUCAAGAAAACCAGCAACAACAAAUGCUGGAGAGGCUGUGGGGAAAAAGGAACUCUCCUGCACUGUUGAUGGGAGUGUAGACUGGUACAACCAUUGUGGAGGUCAGUCUGGAGAUUUCUCAGAAGCCUAUGACUGGAAGCCCCAUUUGACCUAGCUAUACCACUUCUAGGUAUAUUCCCAGAAGAACUGAAAGCAUCAUACCACAGUGAUAUAUGUGCACCCAUGUUUAUAGCAGCACAACUUGUAAUAGCCAGAUCUUGGAAACAACCUAAGUGUCCAUCAACUGAGAAAUGGAUAAAAAAGUUGUGGUAUUUUUGUACAAUGGAGUACUACUCAGCUAUAAGGAAUGAUCACAUUGAGAUGUUUAUAAAUAAAUGGACGCAGCUUGAGACCAUACUCAUAAGUGAAAUAAAUCAAACUUACAUGUAUAAAUACUGAAUAGUUUCCCUAGUGUAAGAAAUGAUAAGAAUAUAUAAAAGUAUGUGGUAAUUAUAAUUCUCAGUCACACUGGUUUGAAGCCAUAUAAUGUUUUCUCUCAUUAAUUGGAGUGGUUUUAAUCUGGGUUGCUUUAUUUUAUUGUCUGUGAUACUACGAAUAGCUAUUUUGAAGAAAAUAAGACAGCAUAAUAGCUAGUGCUGUUUUAAUAUCAUCCUGUUUUGAAGCCCCAUCGAGUUGUUGUUCAUCUGUUUCCAUUGGUUUUAACAUGUUGUAUCUUAUUAUAUUUUAAUGUAUGCGAUAGUAUAAGCAAAAUUUUUUAUAGGCAAAGAGAUAAUAUAGAAACCGAUGUUUGGUUUCUGUUAGCUGGUUCUAAAUACCCUGCAAUACUUUCAUUCUCUUGAAUGGUUUCACACUGUCUUGAUAAGUUUGAUGCUAUAGUAUAUGCAGUUAGAUUCAAAUAUUUCAAGGAAAGAGACACUAUGGUCACUACUAUUAAUGUCAGGCUAUCUGGUGGUGAAACACAAUGAUGCUUAAAUUGUUCAGUUCUGACCGGUGUUGUUCUAUUGAUAUGUUCUUUUUUAUCUCAAUCUCCCCCCUUUUUCUUUUUUUAAAAAUUAAUUUAUUUCUUAUUAUUUUUUAAUUAAAGGAAAACUAAAUUAAAAAUAGCAGGAUAUAUUAUAGUAACUUUUUUGUUUUCCUAUUAACCUAAUUUGAACCCCUGUAUUGUUUUCCACAUCUUGUUCUGACUAAUUUUAUUAUAUUCUGUUUUGUUUAAUAGUAUCAAAUUUGAGGGUAUAGGCAACCACUUUGAAGGCAACCAUAUAUUCUAUGAUGCCCAUUAUUGUUUGACUAUUAUCUUCUUUGGAAGUCCUGGAAGGUCUCCAAUGUGAGUUUUAUUGGUCUUGCUCUGUACUGUGUUGUUCAAUGCUUAUAUACCAGCUGAUAUAGGCAACUCUUUUUAGGAUAAUAAGAGGCAUAAUGGUAACCAUUGUUGGUCACCUAGUAAUCUCUUUUUACAUUAUAUACUAUGUCCAUCCUCCUGUUCUAACUGACUCUGUUUUGCUUUGUCACAUUGGGUUUUUCUUUGUUCUGUUUUUUUUUUGUUUCUUUUUUUUUUUUCUUUUCCUCUUCAAAGAAAAAGUUAUAAGAACUGUGGGAGUAAUGGAAACCAAAAUGUGUGAUUGUUAGUGUAAAAAAGAGAGGAAAGAAAGUGAUCUAAAGGAUAUAACUGCAAGUAUAUUUAAGUUUGUAACUCAUAUUUUUGUUGAGUUUUUGUUGGAUCAUUGAACAGAACUGUCUGUAAUCUCACUGUAUUAAUGUCCACUUUGUAUGCUUUAAUUUUGUAACCUGGACAACUGUUUCUGAGAUGACAAUAUGUAAUCUAUUAACUAGUGAAUUCUUACUGUAUAUUUUUUCUCUUGAAAUUCUGUAUUACUUGUAGCCUUUUACUGUUUUGUUUUGUUUUUCUCUUUAGAUUAAAAAAAAGUUAAUACAAAUCAAGAUAGUAUUAAAGCAGUCAAAACAAUAGAAUGAGAGCCUUAAGAGCAAAUACUUGCUUAGGAUUAGAUUCACAUUUGGCAACUUUAGGUCCUCAUAGGACAACUGAUAGAUAAGAUCAUUAAUGGGUAUUAUCUGCUAUUUUUGGUUACUUGUAAAACCUAUUUUCAGUUAAAAGCAUAUUGUACUCAAAUAGGGGGUUUGUGUGGUGCCAGGGAUUGGGAGGAUGUCUCUUGUCACCAUGGCAACAAGUAUUUGCAUUUAAGAGCAGGCUCCUCAGGUCACAUUACAGUCACACAGCUUGGAGGGACCCUUAUGAAGCCCUUGUAAUCUUUUCCUAAGCUUGGUAGUUAACAUUUUGGAACCUAAUCAUUAACCAUGUUCUGUAACAGAUAAUUACUCACUGUGGUUAGCAUUUUCUAUCCUUGAGUGCUUUCUGAAAUGCAGGGAGCACAAGACAUUCUCAGGCAUUUGUUCCUUUACCUAAGUAAAAUAAAAUAAUUGGACUUUUCCUGUAAAUCUGGGAAAGGUUGCAUUUUCUGCAAAAGGAUUGUGGUGAUGGAGUGUGUCUGUCACUGCUACCCUGGAGGCUAUGUUUUCCUUAUCUUGUAGACCACAGAAGCAGCUGCCUCACUCCCUGGGGUUCCCUUUUCUGUGUGUUUCCCCUUCCUCCCAGAGAUGGCUGCAUCCCCAUUAGACUUCUGCUGCCAAUUUGUUCUGUGGAAUCAUUGGACUCAUUUGCCAGGACCUAUAAGGUGUUUUCUCCUGCUAACAGAAAUGUCCCUUUGUCACCUGACCUUCCUUUCCCUGACUGAAUAUUUGUGUUAAGACCAGAAAUUCAUGUUUCCUCAUCUGCCUAGCAUGUCAGUCAGCACUUACUAGAUAGAACACAGGAUAUACAAGUAUAAAAGAAUCUACAAGAUUGACCUACAAUGGCCCCCCAUAGAGUCAGUCAUGGAAGAUACAGAGAGUGUCUACACAGUGGAGACUGAAGGAUUUGGCUGAAGGUCUGGAGCUUGCUGCAGUGUCCUGUGCAAGCCUGUAUCAGGAGGCUGAUGCGUCUGUGAUGGAAGGUAGAAGCAUCUGUGCUGGAAGCCAAGAGAUGAUAUCCAAUUGAAGGUGAAGACUGGAGCUCCUCCAAAGCACAGAAGAGGAUCCAUCCUUCUUCAUCUCCCUUUUAUACUAUCCAAGUGACAGACAAUCACUUUAGGGAAUUCUCUUACUCAAAUUGAUAUAAUCAGUCAAUCUUCACAUCCAGGUAAAUUUCUCUUGCCCAAGGGGGAACCACCUUUUCCAAGUUUCCCUACCCUGUUGUAUUUUUGAGGUAUACACUCAGUGUUUCUGGAGAGCUAGAGAAAAUGAAUGUUAAGAAUACAUGAAAAAAAAAUAGGACAACUCUGAUAAACUGUAAUAGAGGUUGAUCUUAAAAACAUCUUUCCAAGUUUGUAGAUGAAGUAUUACACUCUAUGUUCCCAUUGUUAUAUAGGUAGGAUGCAGACUCAGUAUGAUAAUAAAGAGUGCUCAACUGUCUUAAAUGUUUGCUGGUUGGAGGGCCUGAAUCCUACAGUUGGUGCCUGGGACUGCGCUGUCCUGGGCAACAGGGAGAGAGUAGUAAGAAAACGUGAAUCACACAGUACUCCCUGCCCUUGCUCCUCUUUGUUUGUGGAUAGAAUUUGGCCAAAAUGAACUUUCCAAAUUACAUGGGUACCGUGUUCUCUAAACGCUGAAUCAGGACCCACAGCAAAGCCAUCACACAUGUUGGUGAUGGAAUCAGUGCCUGCAAGCUCAUGUGACUGAAGGAAGCAGUCAAAGCUUUACUCUGAAAGGGAAAAUGCUCAGAAGAGUCAAAAGAUGAGUUUGCUGGAUGAAGGGUGUAGAGGGGCCCAGGAGGUCCUGUUCCAUGCUGAGUGCAUACAUAGAGAUCCAUUGUGAUAUAUUACCAUAACCAAUCAUGUAUAUGUAAAAUUUAAUAUACUCAUGAAAGGGUACACAUACGUAUUUAUGAGCCACUCAAGUCUUUCAAACAGCAGCUGGCUGGGCUGCCUCUAUUCUUCGAUUUGAUUUUAGCUCUAGCAGCUUGGCUUCUACAGCAUUAGAGCUUUCUCCAUGCUCCUCCCUAAAAGAGAAUGGGACCAGUCCCCUGUGAGUGCACUCCAGGCCAAGCUAUUAUAAUGAGGUCCUUUGUGACUUAGAAGCCAAUGGGCUUCCACUAUGAACACCCAACACUGAAACUACACAUUUUUCUCUCUCAGUUAGACAUCCUUUUAUUUAAUAUGUGCGUACCUUAUUAGCAGUAGGCAUAAAAUUGUUCCACAAAUGAGAAAAUCAUCCUGGGCUCUGAGAAUCUGGCUGUGCACAUGUGCAUGGUUAAACUCCUGGACACUGCUGUGACUGAAGGUCCUUGCAGGGUGAGGUAGUAGGCUGUGAGUGUAGACACUCCACUCCAUUUCUGAAGGCCUAAGGCAGAGGAAAUUCUUGACCUAUAGAAUAUAAUUAUCACAAUUGGAAGGUGGCCAUGACUGCCUGUUCUUAUACACAGUAGAGUAUUUUGAGAAUUUUCCUUGUCAUAAUCAAUUGGAUGUGAUUUUUAGGGAUGUGUACUAGGGUAGAAAGACAACAUCUGGCUGUUUGGCUGAUUCAUUGUUCUGCAUUAAUUUGACUCUUUUUGGUUAAAGCCCAGGUGGUGACAAGCUCAUUUAGAGUCUCUCUGCCUGUCUCAUGUCAGCCCAGGAAUAUUCCAAAGCAAUGUGCUGUUUAUUAUACGGUGUGAGUUGCUGGCCAGCCAGUUGGAUCAAAUCAAUAUGUGGAAGCCUUAUUCAUUGGCAAAAUUAAUAGUCAGGAGGCAGCUUAUCCACACCAGUGCAGUGCCUGCAGGAUGAGCUGCUCUGGCCCUUGAUUUGCUGCAGUCAAACAAUAAUCCCAUUGUAAACAUCAACCAGGGAGGUGGGGUCCUUAGGGCACUGUCAAGCUCUGUGCUGAUAUCCAUCCAUGAGCUGAUUAAAUCUGCACUAAUCACAGGCCCAGUGCAGGUGCCAUCAGUGCCCCUGGAUAUCACUAAGAGGAUCAAUUGCUUUGGUUUGGAAAAAUGAAUGCAUUUCCAUCACUGAUGGAAGCAAUUACCUGGUAACCAUGUCCUUGUACCUCAUUAUUAUCUUUUAAUUAGCACUGAGGAUCACAUUCCAACCACAACCCUGUUCAUAUUCUGUUCAAGUGCAUGCAAACAAAGAGACAGAAUCUCCUUAGGUAGACUAAUAUGAAACUCCUUUCAGUGGGUCUACAAAACUUGACAUCAGUGGUGCCUGUGGCCUGAACAGUCUCUCCUCCCUUCCUUUCAAGCUCUGUGCUCUUCUGAUGCUGUCUGUCUUUCCUGCUCUAGGACUUGUGUUUGGGAGCCUGUGUUUGGAACAUUUUGUCCCCAGUCUACCUCACCUAUUUGCAUGUACGACUCUUUUGUGUCACUCAUAUCUCAGUUGGAUAUCACCGUCCCAUGACAACUUACUGACCACCACUAGUAAGGUCUUGCUUUCUUGUUGUGCAUUACAUCAUGCUAGCUGAUCACCUUAAUUCUCCUUACCAACAUCUGAACAAGCUGUUUUUCUGUGAUGUUGUUUCCCUAAAUUCACCACGAUACCCUUAGCCACUGGCACCUGGUCUGGUGCACAGUGCUGCUUACCAAAAUCCGCUGAGUGAAUGAUUGUCUCUGUCCAUGAAUGAGUGGGUGAAUGGAGGCUUCAAGGGGAAGAGCCCUUCAUUGGAGGACAUGGGUGCAUCUUGUCAGGACUCUUCCUGGACACAUCAAGGGGAUGGGCAAGUUACCAAGCUUACUGGGUUAACUGAUCCCCCAGGACUCCUGAGCUCUGAAACAUUUCCAAAUGUUUGUUCUAGUUGAGAAAGGAACAGGUUGGGGCAUGAGUAUUUUCUAGUAUGAACACUAGAUUUUUCAUCUUGCAGGGAAGCAAGCCACAGAUAUUUGCCUAGGAUGAGAUGGAACUACCUCUCAGGCACCAAUGUGCAAAUCACUGAGAAGCUUCCACAGGACUUAGCACACACUGGUCAGGAUUCCCAUCUUGGAGACUGGCUUUCUCUUUGGUGACCAGUGGUCCAAUAAAUACUAACAGGCCAGUAAAACAGAAUAUUGAUAAGUCAGUACCCUAUAGUCUGUCAUAGAAUAGUUUCUUCCUAGAUCUCAAGGUUUCUCUCUGAGGGCUGAUGAAAGGUUCCAAGGCAAAGGAGACUCUUCCAGUGAGCUUAGGUAACAGGUCCUUGUGUCCCUGCCCUGAGGGAAGAGGGCUGCCUUUGUCCUGCUCUGUGGAAACCCUCACCUCUUGCUCUUGCACAGCAUCUGCAGGCUCAGUAAGCUAAGUAAGCACAUUCCACAAGUUGAGCUAUCUACCCAGAGCCUGGCUUUAAAAGGCACUGCACCUCAGAAGGUUUACUGGACCCAUCCAGGACGAGAGGGAACAAAGUGCGGCAUGCAGAGUCUCUGGUAUUCCACUUGCAGGCACAUUUCCAGAAGAACUGAAAACAUACCACAGUGAUAUAUGUGCACCCAUGUUUAUAGCAGCAUUAUAAUAGUCAGAUCUUGUAAAUAACCGAAGUGUCCAUUAAAUACGGAAUGGAUAAAAAAGUUGUGAUAUUUUUAUACAAUGGAGUACUACUCAGCUAUAAAGAAUGAUCACAUUGAGAAAUCUAUAAGUAAAUGGAUGCAACUUGAGACCACACUCAUAAGUGAAAUAAAUCAAACUCACAUAUGUAAAUACUGUGUAGUCUCCCUAGUAUAAAAAAUGGCAAGCGUACCUAAGAUAUAAAAUACUCAAUAAGUACAGUAAAAGGUUAAGAAUCUGUUUAAAGGGGAAAAAUAAUAUCUCAGGGAAAAUGAGGAAGAAGAAAAAUGAAGGGAAAAGAAAAAAUAUCUAAAAUUAGGUAAACACACAGGAUAAUUAAGAUGAUCAUGCUACAAAUUCUACAAGUUCUUAGAACAAAAUGCUAACAUUCGUAGGAUUGGAACAACCGUGCAUAUUAUUGUAUGGUGAUCUGAGGAACUUUUGAAGAUCAUUAUGUAAAAAUAUCAACCUUAGUUAUGCUCCUACCACCUUGAUUUGAAGGCCUGUAUUUUCAGUGUUUUGGGCUCUUUGCUAUUGGUAUCUAUUUAUCUUUUUUGUUUCAUGUUUUUCUAGGAAUUUGUUUUGUUUUUCCCUUUAAUACAGAAAGGAUAGGUACACAUGUAGAUUCUCAUACAUGCAUACAACUUCUCCUAAACAGUUUAUGAGAAUUGAUUAUAUAAUUCAUGAUGAAAUGAAUAGCUACUUUGAAGAAAGAGACACUAAGGUACCCAGUGCUGAUCGCAUAGUAGCAUAUUAUCAUGCUGUGAAAUCCAGAAAUACUAUUGUUAUUUGUUCAGAGUGAUUGUAGUCUGUUUUGUAUUGUUUAAUUUCAACAUACAUAAAGAUAUGGACAGCUACUUUGAAGAGAAUGAGAGAUAUUAUGGCAGCCACUAUUAACUUUCUUUUUGUCUGGUUUUGCAGACCUAAAAUGCCUUCAUUAUCCUGUUCUGAUCAGUUUAAUACUAUUUUGUUUUGUAUGGACUCAUUGUGUGUGAAGAUAUGGACAACUAUUUAGAAAAAAACAAGAGACAAAAUGAUGGUGAAGAUCUGUUUUUGUCUUGCUUUGAAAUCUGUGUCUCUUACAUUGUUUUCUUCUGAUCUGCUUUGUUCUGUUUUGUUCUGUUUAAUUUUACCCUCUUUAAAAUAAAAUUUAAAAAAUAAAAAGAAUACCUUAUAAACAA
Cavia porcellus (domestic guinea pig) is the source of this 13026-nucleotide long non-coding RNA. RefSeq lists it as uncharacterized. The record is from RefSeq and is a predicted model, not a curated record. Lineage: Eukaryota; Metazoa; Chordata; Mammalia; Rodentia; Caviidae. The transcript has 2 exons.